AAUGGCAGGUCAGCAUACUGCCGUGAAUACGUUCCCGGGCCUUGUACACACCGCCCGUCACACCAUGAGAGUUGGGGAUACCCGAAGCCUGUGAGCCAACUUUUUAAGAGGCAGCAGUCGAAGGUAGAAUCAAUGAUUGGGGUGAAGUCGUAACAAGGUAUC
Molecule: ribosomal RNA, 162 nt
Filed under: uncultured bacterium
Lineage: Bacteria
Description: partial 16S ribosomal RNA
Rfam family: Bacterial small subunit ribosomal RNA
Source: RNAcentral